Molecule: ribosomal RNA, 520 nt
Filed under: uncultured Glomeromycotina
Lineage: Eukaryota; Fungi; Glomeromycota
Description: SSU rRNA
Rfam family: Eukaryotic small subunit ribosomal RNA
Source: RNAcentral
AGCAGCCGCGGUAAUUCCAGCUCCAAUAGCGUAUAUUAAAGUUGUUGCAGUUAAAAAGCUCGUAGUUGAAUUUCGGGGUUAGUAGGUUGGUCGUGCCACUGGUAUGUACUGGUUCUACUGAUCCCUCCUUCUUGUAGAACCGUAAUGCCAUUCACUUGGUGUUGCGGGGAAACAGGACUGUUACUUUGAAAAAAUUAGAGUGUUUAAAGCAGGCUAACGCUUGAAUACAUUAGCAUGGAAUAAUGAAAUAGGACGUUCGAUCCUAUUUUGUUGGUUUCUAGGAUUGACGUAAUGAUUAAUAGGGAUAGUUGGGGGCAUUAGUAUUCAAUUGUCAGAGGUGAAAUUCUUGGAUUUAUUGAAGACUGACUACUGCGAAAGCAUUUGCCAAGGAUGUUUUCAUUAAUCAAGAACGAAAGUUAGGGGAUCGAAGACGAUCAGAUACCGUCGUAGUCUUAACCAUAAACUAUGCCGACUAGGGAUCGGAUGAUGUUAAUUUUUAAUGACUCAUUCGGCGCCUUAC